RNAcentral lists this unclassified non-coding RNA (179 nucleotides) under plant metagenome. RNAcentral's name for it is "partial contains small subunit ribosomal RNA and internal transcribed spacer 1". The stretch from base 1 to 46 matches the Rfam family "Eukaryotic small subunit ribosomal RNA", at positions 1786 to 1831 of the family's 1831-position model. The record is from RNAcentral.
AAGUCGUAACAAGGUUUCCGUAGGUGAACCUGCGGAAGGAUCAUUAUUGAAUUCGAGCGUGGCUUCACCGCCUGCUCUUUGACACUAGUCCAUAACACCUGUGAACUGUUGGAUGCGCAAGCAUUCUCUACACCUAAACAUUAUUGUAACAAAUGUAGUCUUAUUAUAACGAAAUAAAA